UGUGUACAAAGCAAGAGACCAAGGGAGCUUUGAAGAAGAACUUAUUGUCCUUAACACCAGCUUUUCAUCUUGCUUUAUAUCAUUCAACUUCAAGUGGCACAUUAUCUUUUAAGCCUAGUCAAUCAUUGAUUACUCUUCCUACUGCCCAUGUGAUGCCGUCUAAUUCCAGCGCUUCAAUUUCCAAACUUAGGGAAUCAUUGACACCAGAUGGCUCAAAAUGGAGUACAAGCCUCAUGCAAACAUUGGGAAACCACAGUAGGGGGGAGCAGGACUCUUCACUAGACAUGAAGGACUUCCGGCCACUUCGGAAAUGGUCAUCUUUAUCCAAACUCACUGCCCCGGAUAACUGUGGCCAGGGUGGCACUGUAUGCAGAGAAGAGUCAAGGAAUGGUUUGGAGAAGAUAGGGAAGGCUAAGGCUUUAACAUCACAACUGAGGACAAUUGGGCCUAGCUGUUUACAUGAUAGUAUGGAGAUGCUUAAGUUAGAGGACAAGGAAAUAAAUAAAAAACGGUCAUCAACUCUGGACUGCAAGUAUAAAUUUGAGAGCUGUAGCAAGGAGGACUUUAGAGCCUCUUCCUCUACUCUUAGGAGACAGACUGUAGACAUGACAUAUAGUGCCUUACCUGAAAGCAAGCCCAUUAUGACAAGCUCAGAGGCUUUUGAACCUCCAAAAUAUUUAAUGCUUGGUCAACAGGCAGUAGGUGGAGUUCCCAUUCAGCCUUCCGUAAGGACUCAGAUGUGGCUUACAGAGCAGCUGCGGACAAAUCCUUUGGAAGGUAGAAAUACAGAGGAUUCUUACAGUUUAGCUCCUUGGCAACAGCAGCAAAUUGAAGAC
RNAcentral lists this small RNA (836 nucleotides) under Pan troglodytes (chimpanzee). RNAcentral describes it as "processed transcript". Lineage: Eukaryota; Metazoa; Chordata; Mammalia; Primates; Hominidae. The record is from RNAcentral.